CCUACGGGAGGCAGCAGUGGGGAAUCUUGCGCAAUGGGCGAAAGCCUGACGCAGCAACGCCGCGUGCGGGAAGAAGGCCUUAGGGUUGUAAACCGCUUUCAGUAGGAACGAAAAUGACGGUACCUGCAGAAGAAGGUGCGGCCAACUACGUGCCAGCAGCCGCGGUGACACGUAGGCACCAAGCGUUGUCCGGAUUUAUUGGGCGUAAAGAGCUCGUAGGCGGUUCAGUAAGUCGGGUGUGAAAACUCUGGGCUUAACCCAGAGCCGCCACUCGAUACUGCUGUGACUUGAGUUCGGUAGGGGAGCAGGGAAUUCCUAGUGUAGCGGUGAAAUGCGCAGAUAUUAGGAGGAACACCGGUGGCGAAGGCGCUGCUCUGGGCCGAUACUGACGCUGAGGAGCGAAAGCGUGGGUAGCAAACAGGAUUAGAUACCCUGGUAGUCCACGCCGUAAACGUUGGGCACUAGGUGUGGGUUCCAACCAACGGAAUCCGCGCCGUCGCUAACGCAUUAAGUGCCCCGCCUGGGGAGUACGGCGGCAACGCUAAAACUCAAAGGAAUUGACGGCUGAGACGNGCGACGACGACGACGAGGAGAG
RNAcentral lists this ribosomal RNA (595 nucleotides) under uncultured bacterium. RNAcentral describes it as "bacterial SSU rRNA". It matches the Rfam family "Bacterial small subunit ribosomal RNA", at positions 338 to 960 of the family's 1533-position model. The record is from RNAcentral.